Molecule: long non-coding RNA, 925 nt
Organism: Numida meleagris (helmeted guineafowl)
Lineage: Eukaryota; Metazoa; Chordata; Aves; Galliformes; Numididae
Exons: 4
Source: RefSeq, a predicted model, not a curated record
ACCUCAUUUAAGGGCUGACAGCCACAAGGGAAACCUUUCUUCUUGGAGAUUGCCUCCUUUGGAGCAUUUGGUGAGCCCUAAUCCUCGGAAAGGGGGUAGCUAGGAAAAGCAUCUGAAUCUCUGCUGGCUAUCUCUUCUCCUGGUUUGGUUCAUUCUUGUCUUGAUUAACACAACUGAAAGCUUCAAAUUUUCACAGCUUUUAGAUUCUCUGAGGCACCUUCAUGACCAAUCACGAUAUCUCCUCAUUUCAGAGUUAAUGAGUCAGAAAGAUGAAAGUUGCUUCCAUUCUUGUUCUUCUGCUUCCACUGUAGCAAUUGUUGCUGUUCUUCAAGUUUUCUGAAGGGCUGAGUUACAUGAAACAGAUUUGGCUGCGAAAUUCUAUAAGAAAUUCUCAUAUAAUGACUGAUUGCCUUCUUACUAAUGGCAAGACAUUAUGUAGUUGCUUAUAUCUGUGAAUUAAUGUGGAAAACAAAAGCAGUGGGAAAAGACUAAUUGCAAAUAGAUUCUGCACUCUGAAUUGUGAAAGCUUCUGUGAAACAUAUACAUCUUUAUAUGUGUGUAUAUAUAACAUCAAAACACACUCAUACUUUUACUGAAAGUGUUCUUGGGUAACAUUCUUGCUUCAGGAGAAAGUUACAAAAUUAAGAUGCUUAGAAAAUGUAUUACACCUUUAUCCUUAGAUAAUAGCUGAUGUCCUCAUAGCUGAUUGUGAAUAAAAUACCUACCAGGGUGUUAGUUGAGCAUUAGUACAAUUUUCCAAAAAUAUGCCAUGCUAAAUGUCAUCAGUUUAAGUGACCCUUGAAUUAGGCACGCUGUUCUGAACACUAGAAGCUAGAAAUGGAAAAACAAACCAACCAAAGCAACAUUAACAAAAUCACUCUCAAGGACUUAAGUCCUUGCGACAGACAAUGUCGAGAGGAGUGGA